Molecule: ribosomal RNA, 252 nt
Filed under: uncultured bacterium
Lineage: Bacteria
Description: partial 16S ribosomal RNA
Rfam family: Bacterial small subunit ribosomal RNA
Source: RNAcentral
GACGAACCGUGCGAACGUUGUUCGGAAUCACUGGGCUUAAAGGGCGCGUAGGCGGGCUGUCAAGUCUGGGGUGAAAUCCCGCGGCUCAACCGUGGAACUGCCUCAGAUACUGACGGCCUCGAGGGAGGUAGGGGCAUGCGGAACUGUAGGUGGAGCGGUGAAAUGCGUUGAUAUCUACAGGAACUCCGGUGGCGAAAGCGGCGUGCUGGACCUCUUCUGACGCUGAGGCGCGAAAGCUAGGGGAGCAAACGG